Molecule: transfer RNA, 73 nt
Filed under: Symbiochloris sp. SG-2018
Lineage: Eukaryota; Viridiplantae; Chlorophyta; Trebouxiophyceae; Trebouxiales; Trebouxiaceae
Description: tRNA-Val
Rfam family: tRNA
About the family: Transfer RNA (tRNA) molecules are approximately 80 nucleotides in length. Their secondary structure includes four short double-helical elements and three loops (D, anti-codon, and T loops).
Source: RNAcentral
GAGUGAUUAGCUCAAUUGGUAGAGCAACUCGCUUACAACGAGAAGGUUGAUGGUUCGAGUCCGUCAUUGCUCA